AAGUCAUGCAUACAUGCAACCUAUGUUUACUUAGCCACCACAUUUUUUUCUGUAAAAUUCAGAAUGAAAAAAGGAUGAUAGUUGGAUAAACCAAGAGGUUCUUGGUCUAAUAGUUAAUUUGAAAGAUGAGAAUUUUGAUUCGAAUCCACUUAGUAGGAAAGUUGUUUCCAAAAAAGGUUCCGAACGGUGAUCGAACCGCAUUGUGCGGUGCAGUGUAUGUAGAUAUUUUCGUUACUAUUAGAACUGCAUUGUACUUUAUCCGCAGUUGAACUGCACGUUACUAUUCUGAUCCACGAAGAUUAGGAUCCAUCACGAAUUUUUUGGCAAAAUAUAUAUUUAUAUAAUGAGAGAGUGGGGUGGGAGACGGAGUUGACUUUGAAAAGGUUUGGGGAUAAAACAAAAUAUAUAAUGGAAUUAGGGAGGGAUAUUGUAAUAUAAGAAAGUAAGAAAGAUAAGAGGUGGAAAAGGGAAGAGGAGAGAU
RNAcentral lists this small RNA (481 nucleotides) under Arabidopsis thaliana (thale cress). RNAcentral describes it as "ATSL096810". Lineage: Eukaryota; Viridiplantae; Streptophyta; Magnoliopsida; Brassicales; Brassicaceae. The record is from RNAcentral.